CGUCAUAAUCAUAACUGUAUUCAUCAGCUAACUCAUCAUUCUCACGCAACAACUCAAACGAUGAAUCUGCGUCAGCUUCUAAGCCUCCAUCAUUUUCUACUGUCGCCAUGCGGACACCCUCACUGUUGUCUUUACUGUCCGAAUGGCUGUCCACAGAUUCUUUCGAACCAUCCUCUUCCAGAAGUCGCCUCCCACUUUUG
Molecule: long non-coding RNA, 200 nt
Organism: Arabidopsis thaliana (thale cress)
Lineage: Eukaryota; Viridiplantae; Streptophyta; Magnoliopsida; Brassicales; Brassicaceae
Product: other RNA
Exons: 1
Source: RefSeq